UCUGGGAAACUGCCUGAUGGAGGGGGAUAACUACUGGAAACGGUAGCUAAUACCGCAUAACGUCGCAAGACCAAAGAGGGGGACCUUCGGGCCUCUUGCCAUCGGAUGUGCCCAGAUGGGAUUAGCUAGUAGGUGGGGUAACGGCUCACCUAGGCGACGAUCCCUAGCUGGUCUGAGAGGAUGACCAGCCACACUGGAACUGAGACACGGUCCAGACUCCUACGGGAGGCAGCAGUGGGGAAUAUUGCACAAUGGGCGCAAGCCUGAUGCAGCCAUGCCGCGUGUAUGAAGAAGGCCUUCGGGUUGUAAAGUACUUUCAGCGGGGAGGAA
RNAcentral lists this ribosomal RNA (330 nucleotides) under Escherichia coli. RNAcentral describes it as "bacterial SSU rRNA". It matches the Rfam family "Bacterial small subunit ribosomal RNA", at positions 116 to 449 of the family's 1533-position model. Lineage: Bacteria; Pseudomonadati; Pseudomonadota; Gammaproteobacteria; Enterobacterales; Enterobacteriaceae. The record is from RNAcentral.